GAGCAUAGAACGACGUCUCUGAUUGGUCAACAAGUGAGUAAAGAUGCAUCUGAUUGUUCGAAAGCGUCAACCAAAGAGCUGCUGGUCACGGCAAGAUACAAACUCGCCGGAGCUCUGCAUGAACGGCACAUCCGGGACCUUCAGCACUCAGGAGAGAUUUAUCUUGAGGUAUGUAUUUACCUUUGAUAUCCAUGCGUCGACGCAAGCUCCGCGAGGUAAAGUUGUAUGUUUAACAAGCUAAUUAAGGUUAGUUAAACGGAAUUAAAACAAUACACAACCGAUUUGAACAAAUUGAAAGUGGUGAAUGAUGAUAAAUGCUAAAAAAUUACUUAAGAUUUAUCUUUAACAAUAGAUAUUAGAAGUUAAAUUUAACUGUUUUUAAAUUCCCACCGGAGUUAAAGGGACCUGCGGCCUUGCAUGUGCUCUGCAUCUUCAACUGCAGAGACAGUCAGUCUAAGCUCAGUGUAGCUAACUGCAACACACUUUUUUUUUUUCAACACAAGAUAUGCUUGGGGGGAUUUAAAUGAUAAUAUUAAUGUUUUCUUAUUCAGCACAAAUCAAUAAUAUUAUAGUUAUUUGCUCAUGGUCUGGUUCUCUGGCCCAGCGUUUCUGAUGUUAUUCUAAGGUUUUUGAGUUUCUUAUGUUUAAUGGCGGGUUAGUUGAGUUUGGCUUAACGUUAUUAAUAUCGUUUUAAGGAGUUUAUGUUAGGGCUGUAUAUUACCACGUUUGUAUUUUCAUGCCAUGUUUCCUGUUUUAUUUUGAAAGAGUCUGUUGCGUUCAGUUCAUUAAUCUCACUUCCCUGUUGUGUCAAUAGACUCAUUUGUCCAAGCUACUACCCUGCUGUCCCUCUGUCGUGUCUCAACCUCCAACAGGAAAGUAGAAGUCCUCAUAUGACACCAGGUGCCGAGGUCCUGUCUCAACCUCCUUCAGACCAAUUGAUGAGUGACACACCCACUUCAUUCUUCCAACAGACACCAGGUGCCGAGGUCCUGUCUCAACCUCCUUCAGACCAAUUGGCUCAAGGACCAAGUAUUCUGGGGGUUCCAAGCCACACGCUUUACUCAGCUGCCCUGGACAACAUGAAGGGCACCUCUGGCUCAAUCACCCUGAACAACAAAAACAUUAGCAACACUUCACCAAGAAGGGCUGGGACGGUGAGAAGCAAGUGGACAAAUGAUGAAGUGAAGGUUGCUGAGCGGCACGUUUCACUUCAUAAAAAGCUGCAAAGUACCAGGUAAAAAGGAAUGUGACUGCUGCCUCCAAGCAGAGCCGGCAGCUCUGAAAGACAGAGACUGGGUUGUCAUAAGGUACUACAGCCACAACAGGAUCAUAGCAUUAAAAGAAAGAUGCAAGAAAAAAAGAAACAAGCAAGAGAGAUACUUUGUUACUUCCACAGUUAUGUCAGUAUUGCAGUUUUCUGUAUUGCAUUGUUCUUACUCAUAAAUCUGUGGUUUAUGCUGGGUGCUUUUUGCAAUUAAAUGAUAAAAAAGGCAGAUAAUGUUCCACGUUUUUAUUCACAUGAACAUUCACUACAAAAUGAAUUAAUGCAUUACAAUAUCAAGACUUAAAAA
Astatotilapia calliptera (eastern happy) is the source of this 1571-nucleotide long non-coding RNA. NCBI's taxonomy places the organism in Eukaryota, Metazoa, Chordata, Actinopteri, Cichliformes, Cichlidae. The record is from Ensembl.